RNAcentral lists this transfer RNA (71 nucleotides) under Dolloidraco longedorsalis. Its description in RNAcentral is "tRNA-Asp". The record is from RNAcentral. Lineage: Eukaryota; Metazoa; Chordata; Actinopteri; Perciformes; Artedidraconidae.
AAGACACUAGUAAAAUUUAAUUACAUGGCCUUGUCAGGGCCAGGUUGUGAGCUAGCUCCUCACGUGUCUUA